UAGGAACUCCCAUCCACUGGCACAUGAUAGCCGGGUUGAUUCCGUUAUCAGGGAUGCCAGGUCUAGCAGGGCUGCAACACACUGCUCUCCAGGUGCCAACACACCACGGACUACAGUACCACCUCAAUCGAUGCUGAUAGUCGGUGAUUCUAUCAUAAGGGAUGUGAAGUCAAAGCUGACCUUAUCCCUCUGUUGCCCGUUUGCUAAAGUCUCCAAAUUAGUUUGUGUCAUCCCUAGCCUGUUUACAGAAAACUCCUCUGUUAAGAAGGUUGUUGUCCACGUUGGCAUAGAUGACACUAGUCAGCAACGAUCCAAAAGGAUUUUACUGGACUUUGACAUUUAAAAGUCAGUGGUAAGAACAUCUACAUUUCUGGCCCCAUCCCAAUGCUGGGUCGGGGGGUGGGCGUUUUAGCAGUCUACAUUAGUGGCUUCAAUGUGGAGGUCAAAACUUUGGUUUUGUUGACAGUUUUAUUCUAUUCUAGGAGUGCUCUGCAUUCUUCAGAAGAGAUGGUCCUCACCUGAAUUGACUGGGCUCAUGUAUGUUGUCAGCAUACAAAUUUCACUUUACCCUGUCUAGCCCACUUGCAUGUUUAAAAUCAACGACAUGUGUGUCCCCUCUCUGGAUGCACGUAAAAUGGAGCAAAUACUUCCACGAGCAGUUCAAAACCGGUUUGUCUCAUAUGUUCCGAGACUGUGGCAAUUAUGAAGCGCCACUACAGACAAAAGCACAAAUAUUUGGAGCAAACAUAGCGUAACCAGCACGUUUAGCAGAUCAAUAGCAGCGAAUGAACCGUUGUGACUACACAAGAGGCAUUGAGGUACAUGGUUGAGCGAAGGUCACCCACUUUGUGGAAGCGCUCAGAGUCCAAUACACAAUGACUGUAGUUAUGAAUGUAAAAGGAAGGAAAUACUUUCCAUUGGCAGUUCAAAACCAGUUUGUCUAAUACCAUCCAAGACCUUGGUGAUUGUGAAGUGCCACUAUAGACAGAUUUUUGGAGCCAACAUACCCACUCAAAUCUGAACUAAAGGCACAGAAAAUAAAAACGAUUUAAGAGCCCAAUAUGAUUGAUCCACUUUAUAUUAGGAUGCACAUUUUAUUUAUAAAUGUAGCCCUUAUUUUACUUGAAAUGAGAAAAUAAUUUAUUUACUAUUAAAGCACUUAUAAUUCAUAACAUCUGCGUAUAAUAGAAUGUUAGUUUCUUUCAUGAUGUUAGUAUAACCUACAUAGGCUACUCAAUCACAUCAACUGUAUUAAUUUUUCUAUGCACUGAAGUAGCCUCUGGAGGCCAAGCAAUCGGCCUGGUCUGUACAGACAGGUUUUGAACGGGCACUGCACUAGUAUUAAUAAUUUAAUAAAAAUUUAAAAGCCCUAGCUGCAGUUUUAACUCAGCACAGACUGUUAAAGACGGCUCUUCUGAAUGUAAGAUCCCUCUCUAAUAAGACAUUUAUUUUAAAUGAUUUUAUCUCUUCUGCUGAUUUAUAUUUUAUGUUUUUAACAGAAUCCUGGCUACAAUCUUGUGAUCAUAGCCAGCUUGCUGAACUGUGCCCUCCAGAAUAUGACAGUUUUAGCCAACCUAGGGAUUGCUGUCAUGGUGGUGGCCUUGUUACUGUUCAUAGCAAGCAUUUCAAAUGUAACUUAAUAGCUUGUAAUGAUUUUUCUUCCUUUGAAGUGCUCAUGUUUAAACUUGGUAGCCCGUACCGGGUCAUUUUUGCUGUUUUGUCAUGUAGUGAGUGGAGCAGGUGGACCCAAAUGCAGGAGACGGCAGGCAGGCAGGAUCAGAUGCAUAAUAUUUAAUGAUAAACAUGAAAUAUUGAGACACAGGAACAGGGAACACUAACCAUAACCACGACAAAAACGACUCAACAAAAACUGAACUGAGAACAGGACUUAAAUACACAGGGUCUGAUUACAACUGAACACAGGAGAGUGAAACAAGACACAGGUGAAACACAUAUGGCAAUCAACAAAGGCGGGAAAACACAGGAAGUAAAGGUAACAAGACACAAGGAGAAAACAUUUCAAAAUAAAACAGGAACUAAAGUAAUCAGACAAGGAACAGGUGACACAACACAAGGGCAGACUGGGAGCUGAUAAACUGGGGAGGACGCUAGGAGCAGGGUUGGGCUAACAAGGGUGAUGCAGAACAGCUCUUGGAAGCUGCCCUUCGGGGGACCUCUGCUGCAUUCACACCAAAUCAGGCUUUGCGGGAAAAACACUGGUCCUCCCAUUCAUUUGAAUGGGGGUUGUGCAUUUAGACUGCAGGAGUGGGAACCACAAGGUUUGCCACAAUAAAAACGCAGUGGCCCUGCGGCAAGAAGUUGAUCCAGGAAUGCAACCUGACGUCAUGCUGCUCUGGCCAAUCAUGUAAGCCAAUGAUCAGACCAGAAGGUGCCCACAGGAAGAACUUUGUUUGCCAUUUAGCAUCGUAGCAUUCUGCUGUUUACCAAGCAACUGUGAAGAUGGAAGAGAGACUGAUCACCUCCAUGAUGACCUUUCCAGAGCUGUACAACCCUGCCACGACGAAGUACAAAGACGUUAAUCACCAGGAGGACGCUAAAAGGAAGUGAAGAAAUCUCCGAGACAGAUACAGGAAGGAUUGCAUUGCUGAGAAGGAGAGACGAAGCAGUUCGCACCAUAGCCCAACAGGACAUGAAAGUUCAUGCCACUGCUUCACUUCCUUGAGCCCUAUGUCCAGGGUAGACCAACAUCUUCUAAUAUGGGGCAUGACACUGUUUUUUUAGAUACGGACAGUCUCUAAGCAUCUGAGCCGAGCCCCAUACUGAGUGAUGCUAACAUGCCCUCCUGCCACAAAGGCACCAGCACAGCCAUCAACCCAGCCAUCAGCCUUGUGAUGCGCCUGUUGAUGCCUCAGGAGAAUUUCUGCAGGCUCACACCAGGACCUUGCACACCCAGGACCCUGGUCCUUCACAGCCCCUGCAGAGCUCAAGCCCAGUCACACCUGGUCCUUCAUGGCCCCUGCAGAGCCUCUGCCCUGCUACACCAGAGCACUGCAAAGCCUCAGCAACCCCCUGCAUGGGAGGAGCCGACCCUCUUGCCCCAAGAGAUGACACACACAGCUCUCUGAAUUUGAGGCCCAGGUGAUGAGCACACUUUGUAGCUGUCCAGACAAGGAGGAGCACUUUGGAUUGAGCCUGGCGGCAACACUGAGGUCCCCCCAUCAAAGGGACGACUGCUACGGUGCCGCAUUGAGCAACUUGUGUAUGAAGUCGAGUUUGGGGAUGAACUGUGAUUCUGGGUACAACAUAUAAAUGCUACAAUAGGUAUGCACAAGGUGGUGUUUUUUUCUUUCUCUUUUUUAAUAUUUUGGUGUGCAAUGCAUUAUAAAAUUGAGUGCAAUAUGUUAUUAACUUGUAUAUACUUGAAUAUAUACUGGUGUCACAUUUUGUUAUCAUUUAUUCUUACCCUUUGGUCAGUAGGUACUCAUAAUUUUGAUUUAAGAGGAUGUUUAUACUUUUAUUACACUCAGUGACUUCAUUAGAAACACCUAUUUUUGUUCCUAUCAAAACUACUGACCAUAGAGUUGUCUGACCUCUAUCAUCAACAUUAUAUGAGAGUGCGCAGAACAUUGUGGGUUAAAGUUGUAGGAGUUCUAAGUGAACGGUCUGGUUUGAUAAUUGCUCUGACUCCCAGCUUGUGUCUGUUUGAGGAGAGAUCCCAAAUGCUAAAUGUGACAAAAUGUGUAUUCUCAGUCAUUUUCACAGCUUCUGGGAUUAUUUGAAGACACUGGAAAUCUGUUAAAGCUUAUACAUAAAUAAAUGGGCAAGUGCAAUGGUAGAAAUAGCAUCAUAUGAAAGUAUGCUGAAAGAUAAUCAAGUAGACGUGGACUCUGAAGGAACAAGAACUUUGACUAUACCUGUCUUAAUUAGUAACAGAAUCACUAAUGGUUAUUCAAGCAAAGCUGUUAACUUUUAUACACAUAAAUACCUGUCCACUACAUGUACAACAAAACUAUGUACUCACAUGCACAGUACUUGCACUACAUGAUAUGACCCUUGGAAUGCUGCUAUUAUUACUAUAGUUGUUGAAUGACUGU
Molecule: long non-coding RNA, 4055 nt
Organism: Thunnus maccoyii (southern bluefin tuna)
Lineage: Eukaryota; Metazoa; Chordata; Actinopteri; Scombriformes; Scombridae
Exons: 3
Source: RefSeq, a predicted model, not a curated record